AUUGAACGCUGGCGGCAGGCCUAACACAUGCAAGUCGAGCGGAUGAAGGGAUCUUGCUCCUGGAUUCAGCGGCUGACGGGUGAGUAAUGCCUAGGAAUCUGCCUGGUAGUGGGGGAUAACGUCCGGAAACGGGCGCUAAUACCGCAUACGUCCUGAGGGAGCAAGUUGGGGAUCUUCUGACCUCACUCUAUCAGAUGAGCCUAGGUCGGCUUAGCUAGUUGGUGGGGUAAAGGCCUACCAGGGCGAGGAUCCGUAACUGAUCUGAGGGAAUGAUAAGUCACACUAGAAGUGGAACAGGGUCCAGACGACUAAGGGAGGCAGCAGUGGGGAAUGUUGGGAAGUAGGAGAAAGCAGUAUCCAGCGAUGCGAAGAGUGAGGAGAAGGUAUUGGGAUUGGGAAGAAGGUUAAGUUGGGGGGAAGGGCAGUAAGUUAAGAACAAGCUGGAUUGACGGUAACAGCAGAAUAAGCACCGGCUAACUACGUG
RNAcentral lists this ribosomal RNA (484 nucleotides) under uncultured bacterium. RNAcentral's name for it is "partial 16S ribosomal RNA". It matches the Rfam family "Bacterial small subunit ribosomal RNA", at positions 29 to 507 of the family's 1533-position model. The record is from RNAcentral.